UACGUAGGGCGCAAGCGUUGUCCGGAAUUAUUGGGCGUAAAGAGCGUGUAGGCGGCCAGAUAAGUCCGCUGUGAAAUCUCGAGGCUCAACUUCGAGCUGUCGGUGGAAACUGUCUGGCUAGAGUCCGGAAGAGGAGAAUGGAAUUCCUGGUGUAGCGGUGAAAUGCGCAGAUAUCAGGAAGAACACCCGUGGCGAAGGCGGUUCUCUGGGACGGUACUGACGCUGAGACGCGAAAGCGUGGGGAGCGAACAGG
RNAcentral lists this ribosomal RNA (253 nucleotides) under uncultured bacterium. RNAcentral's name for it is "partial 16S ribosomal RNA". It matches the Rfam family "Bacterial small subunit ribosomal RNA", at positions 524 to 776 of the family's 1533-position model. The record is from RNAcentral.